Molecule: long non-coding RNA, 228 nt
Filed under: Manihot esculenta (cassava)
Lineage: Eukaryota; Viridiplantae; Streptophyta; Magnoliopsida; Malpighiales; Euphorbiaceae
Description: long non-coding RNA (MESC_LNC009774)
Source: RNAcentral
GAAUAAGUUCAAGAUCGGCCCUUACCUCUUGAAGAUCGAGAGAGGGGCGACCAAAACUUGGAGAUGGGAGAUUUUCAACUUCCUUGGGUCUCCUAGCUCAAAACUUGCUCAAAACUUGAAAAUCUUCAAAACAAGAUGAAAACUUGUGAAAAACUUGAAAGAUCUGAAGGAAGAACUCAAAGAUUGGUGAGGAACGGCGGAGAGCUCACCUUGGCCGAAAAUGGGGAG